GAUGAAGAACGUAGCGAAAUGCGAUAAGUAAUGUGAAUUGCAGAAUUCAGUGAAUCAUCGAAUCUUUGAACGCACAUUGCGCCCGCCAGUAUUCUGGCGGGCAUGCCUGUCUGAGCGUCAUUUCAACCCUCAUGCCCCUAGGGCGUGGUGUUGGGGAUCGGCCAAAGCCCGCGAGGGACGGCCGGCCCCUAAAUCUAGUGGCGGACCCGUCGUGGCCUCCUCUGCGAAGUAGGGAUAUUCCGCAUCGGAGAGCGACGAGCCCCUGCCGUUAAACCCCCAACUUUCCAAGGUUGACCUCAGAUCAGGUAGGAAUACCCGCUGAACUUAAGCAUAUCAAUAAGCGGAGGA
Molecule: unclassified non-coding RNA, 348 nt
Filed under: soil metagenome
Description: partial contains 5.8S ribosomal RNA, internal transcribed spacer 2, and large subunit ribosomal RNA
Rfam family: 5.8S ribosomal RNA (bases 1-120)
Source: RNAcentral